Molecule: ribosomal RNA, 133 nt
Filed under: Melanoleuca sp. 'acystis group'
Lineage: Eukaryota; Fungi; Basidiomycota; Agaricomycetes; Agaricales; Pluteaceae
Also listed under: 1 other name
Description: partial 25S ribosomal RNA
Rfam family: Eukaryotic large subunit ribosomal RNA
Source: RNAcentral
UUGACCUCAAAUCAGGUAGGACUACCCGCUGAACUUAAGCAUAUCAAUAAGCGGAGGAAAAGAAACUAACAAGGAUUCCCCUAGUAACUGCGAGUGAAGCGGGAAAAGCUCAAAUUUAAAAUCUGGCAGUCUC